UCGGACUUUUGAGAGUGGCGAACGGGUGAGUAACACGUAGGUAAUCUGUCUUAGGGGUUGGGGAUAGCCCAUGGAAACAUGGGGUAAUACCGAAUAGCUCCCUUUCAGCACAAGCGGGAAGGGGGAAAGGCGCUUAGGCGCCGCCUUAGGGUGAGCCUGCGGUCCAUUAGUUAGUUGGUGGGGUAAGAGCCUACCAAGGCAGCGAUGGAUAGCCGGCCUGAGAGGGUGAACGGCCACACUGGGACUGAGACACGGCCCAGACUCCUACGGGAGGCAGCAGCUAAGAAUCUUCCGCAAUGGGCGAAAGCCUGACGGAGCGAUGCCGCGUGAGUGAAGAAGGCGGGAACGUUGUAAAACUCUUUUCUCGGGGAGGAAUAAUGAGGGGAGGUAAUGCCCCUUUGAUGACGCGAACCGAGGAAUAAGCCCCGGCUAAUUACGUGCCAGCAGCCGCGGUAACACGUAAGGGGCGAGCGUUGUUCGGAAUUAUUGGGCGUAAAGGGCGUGUAGGCGGCGAUGUAAGCCUGGUGUGAAAGACUUCAGCUUAACUGGAGAGCCGCGCUGGGAACUAUGUUGCUUGAGUAUAGGAGGGGGAGCUGGAAUUCCAGGUGUAGGGGUGAAAUCUGUAGAUAUCUGGAAGAACACCGGAGGCGAAGGCGAGCUCCUGGCCAUAUACUGACGCUGAGGCGCGAAAGCGUGGGGAGCGAACAGGAUUAGAUACCCUGGUAGUCCACGCUGUAAACGUUGUGCACUAGGUGUCGGACUUACGGGUUCGGUACCGAAGUUAACGCGAUAAGUGCACCGCCUGGGGAGUAUGCUCGCAAGGGUGAAACUCAAAGGAAUUGACGGGGGCCCGCACAAGCGGUGGAGCAUGUGGUUUAAUUCGAUGAUAUGCGAGAAACCUUACCAGGGUUUGACAUAUAGCAGACGGUCGUAGAGAUACGGCUUCCCUUCGGGGCUGUUAUACAGGUGCUGCAUGGCUGUCGUCAGCUCGUGCUGUGAAGUGUUGGGUUCAGUCCCGCAACGAGCGCAACCCCUACUGUCUGUUACCAUCAUUAAGUUGGGGACUCAGACGGUACUGCCGGUGACAAACCGGAGGAAGGUGGGGAUGACGUCAAGUCAUCAUGGCCCUUAUGUCCUGGGCUACACACGUGCUACAAUGGCCGGUACAGAGCGCAGCAAAACCGCGAGGUGGA
RNAcentral lists this ribosomal RNA (1193 nucleotides) under uncultured organism. RNAcentral's name for it is "bacterial SSU rRNA". It matches the Rfam family "Bacterial small subunit ribosomal RNA", at positions 80 to 1266 of the family's 1533-position model. The record is from RNAcentral.